GACGAACGCUGGCGGCGUGCCUAAUACAUGCAAGUCGAACGAUAACAGCCGGUGCUUGCCUUGGUAAUUCUAAAGGGGAACGGGAUAGUACGAAGCGGGCAACGUGCCCAUCAGUAACGGAUCACAUUCGGAACUGGAUGCUCAAAUCGCCUAGGUCUUCGAACCGCGUGGCUUGCAGCGGUAAAGGGCCGCGCGCUUCUGCUGCUGCCUGGGCCGGCGUUGCAUUAGCUAGUUGGUGAGGUCAAGGAUCACCAAGGCCAUGAUGCAUAGCCGACCUGAGAGGGUGAUCGGCCACAUUGGGACUGAGACACGGCCCAGACUCCUACGGGAGGCAGCAGUAGGGAAUCUUCGACAAUGGACGCAAGUCUGACGGAGCAAUGCCGCGUGAGUGAAGAAGGCUUUCGGAUCGUAAAACGCUUUUGGUAGAGAAGAAUAAGUGCCAGAGUAUCCGUGACCGCCUUGACGGUAUCUAACCAGAAAGCAACGGCUAACUACGUG
Molecule: ribosomal RNA, 498 nt
Filed under: uncultured bacterium
Lineage: Bacteria
Description: partial 16S ribosomal RNA
Rfam family: Bacterial small subunit ribosomal RNA
Source: RNAcentral